GACGAACGCUGGCGGCGUGCUUAACACAUGCAAGUCGAACGGAAAGGCCCUUCGGGGUACUCGAGUGGCGAACGGGUGAGUAACACGUGGGUGAUCUGCCCUGCACUUUGGGAUAAGCCUGGGAAACUGGGUCUAAUACCGAAUAGGACCACGCGCUUCAUGGUGUGUGGUGGAAAGCUUUUGCGGUGUGGGAUGGGCCCGCGGCCUAUCAGCUUGUUGGUGGGGUAAUGGCCUACCAAGGCGACGACGGGUAGCCGGCCUGAGAGGGUGACCGGCCACACUGGGACUGAGAUACGGCCCAGACUCCUACGGGAGGCAGCAGUGGGGAAUAUUGCACAAUGGGCGCAAGCCUGAUGCAGCGACGCCGCGUGAGGGAUGACGGCCUUCGGGUUGUAAACCUCUUUCAAUAGGGACGAAGCGCAAGUGACGGUACCUAUAGAAGAAGCACCGGCCAACUACGUGCCAACAGCCGCGGUAAUACGUAGGGUGCGAGCGUUGUCCGGAAUUACUGGGCGUAAAGAGCUCGUAGGUGGUUUGUCGCGUUGUUCGUGAAAACUCACAGCUUAACUGUGGGCGUGCGGGCGAUACGGGCAGACUAGAGUACUGCAGGGGAGACUGGAAUUCCUGGUGUAGCGGUGGAAUGCGCAGAUAUCAGGAGGAACACCGGUGGCGAAGGCGGGUCUCUGGGCAGUAACUGACGCUGAGGAGCGAAAGCGUGGGGAGCGAACAGGAUUAGAUACCCUGGUAGUCCACGCCGUAAACGGUGGGUACUAGGUGUGGGUUCCUUCCUUGGGAUCCGUGCCGUAGCUAACGCAUUAAGUACCCCGCCUGGGGAGUACGGCCGCAAGGCUAAAACUCAAAGGAAUUGACGGGGGCCCGCACAAGCGGCGGAGCAUGUGGAUUAAUUCGAUGCAACGCGAAGAACCUUACCUGGGUUUGACAUGCACAGGACGCCGGCAGAGAUGUCGGUUCCCUUGUGGCCUGUGUGCAGGUGGUGCAUGGCUGUCGUCAGCUCGUGUCGUGAGAUGUUGGGUUAAGUCCCGCAACGAGCGCAACCCUUGUCCUAUGUUGCCAGCGGGUUAUGCCGGGGACUCGUAGGAGACUGCCGGGGUCAACUCGGAGGAAGGUGGGGAUGACGUCAAGUCAUCAUGCCCCUUAUGUCCAGGGCUUCACACAUGCUACAAUGGCCGGUACAAAGGGCUGCGAUGCCGUGAGGUGGAGCGAAUCCUUUCAAAGCCGGUCUCAGUUCGGAUCGGGGUCUGCAACUCGACCCCGUGAAGUCGGAGUCGCUAGUAAUCGCAGAUCAGCAACGCUGCGGUGAAUACGUUCCCGGGCCU
RNAcentral lists this ribosomal RNA (1337 nucleotides) under uncultured bacterium. RNAcentral's name for it is "bacterial SSU rRNA". It matches the Rfam family "Bacterial small subunit ribosomal RNA", at positions 28 to 1381 of the family's 1533-position model. The record is from RNAcentral.